GAGGAGGUUUCCUUGAGGGAGAGAGUGUUGUGCGAGCGUGUGUGGACACGGCGCGAGAAGAGUCAGCUGGUGGAAAAGUGCAGGGUGCGCGUGCGUGUGUUGGAUUGUGCCCUAUGUACGUGCGCUUGGGGAGCACUCUGAAAGGACAAGGUGAGGACAGCAGAAGAAUUUGGGGGGGUAAGCAAAGAGUGUAGAGACCCAGACCAAUCCAAGCGUGCUGCAGGUUGCUGCCCCAGCGCUGGACCCCCGCUCCUCUACCAUUGCUGCUCAAUUGGCCUAGCAGAAUGAAGUUGAAUGAGAGGGGCCCCAUGUGGACACCCUCCUCCUCCUCUCGGGCCCAUCAAUCAGCAGGUGUCUUUCAUCAUCAACUAUUGCAAUAUUGAAAUUGCACCAUGGCCUUAACUGGAUGCCCUGAUUACUUCCUGCAUCAUUCAAACUAUCAGGUAUUUUAAAAUGUUGUAUGCAAAGACUAAUUGACAUGUGCUUAGGAUACUUGUGCUGUAACAACAA
RNAcentral lists this long non-coding RNA (510 nucleotides) under Neogobius melanostomus (round goby). RNAcentral describes it as "lncRNA (ENSNMLG00000004691.1)". Lineage: Eukaryota; Metazoa; Chordata; Actinopteri; Gobiiformes; Gobiidae. The record is from RNAcentral.